RNAcentral lists this ribosomal RNA (1522 nucleotides) under metagenome. RNAcentral's name for it is "bacterial SSU rRNA". It matches the Rfam family "Bacterial small subunit ribosomal RNA". The record is from RNAcentral.
AGAGUUUGAUCAUGGCUCAGAUUGAACGCUGGCGGCAGGCCUAACACAUGCAAGUCGAACGGUAACAGGAAGCAGCUUGCUGCUUCGCUGACGAGUGGCGGACGGGUGAGUAAUGUCUGGGAAGCUGCCUGAUGGAGGGGGAUAACUACUGGAAACGGUAGCUAAUACCGCAUAAUGUCGCAAGACCAAAGAGGGGGACCUUCGGGCCUCUUGCCAUCGGAUGUGCCCAGAUGGGAUUAGCUUGUUGGUGGGGUAACGGCUCACCAAGGCGACGAUCCCUAGCUGGUCUGAGAGGAUGACCAGCCACACUGGAACUGAGACACGGUCCAGACUCCUACGGGAGGCAGCAGUGGGGAAUAUUGCACAAUGGGCGCAAGCCUGAUGCAGCCAUGCCGCGUGUAUGAAGAAGGCCUUCGGGUUGUAAAGUACUUUCAGCGGGGAGGAAGGGAGUAAAGUUAAUACCUUUGCUCAUUGACGUUACCCGCAGAAGAAGCACCGGCUAACUCCGUGCCAGCAGCCGCGGUAAUACGGAGGGUGCAAGCGUUAAUCGGAAUUACUGGGCGUAAAGCGCACGCAGGCGGUUUGUUAAGUCAGAUGUGAAAUCCCCGGGCUCAACCUGGGAACUGCAUCUGAUACUGGCAAGCUUGAGUCUCGUAGAGGGGGGUAGAAUUCCAGGUGUAGCGGUGAAAUGCGUAGAGAUCUGGAGGAAUACCGGUGGCGAAGGCGGCCCCCUGGACGAAGACUGACGCUCAGGUGCGAAAGCGUGGGGAGCAAACAGGAUUAGAUACCCUGGUAGUCCACGCCGUAAACGAUGUCGACUUGGAGGUUGUGCCCUUGAGGCGUGGCUUCCGGAGCUAACGCGUUAAGUCGACCGCCUGGGGAGUACGGCCGCAAGGUUAAAACUCAAAUGAAUUGACGGGGGCCCGCACAAGCGGUGGAGCAUGUGGUUUAAUUCGAUGCAACGCGAAGAACCUUACCUGGUCUUGACAUCCACGGAAGUUUUCAGAGAUGAGAAUGUGCCUUCGGGAACCGUGAGACAGGUGCUGCAUGGUUGUCGUCAGCUCGUGUUGUGAAAUGUUGGGUUAAGUCCCGCAACGAGCGCAACCCUUAUGCUUUGUUGCCAGCGGUCCGGCCGGGAACUCAAAGGAGACUGCCAGUGAUAAACUGGAGGAAGGUGGGGAUGACGUCAAGUCAUCAUGGCCCUUACGACCAGGGCUACACACGCGCUACAAUGGCGCAUACAAAGAGAAGCGACCUCGCGAGAGCAAGCGGACCUCAUAAAGUGCGUCGUAGUCCGGAUUGGAGUCUGCAACUCGACUCCAUGAAGUCGGAAUCGCUAGUAAUCGUGGAUCAGAAUGCCACGGUGAAUACGUUCCCGGGCCUUGUACACACCGCCCGUCACACCAUGGGAGUGGGUUGCAAAAGAAGUAGGUAGCUUAACCUUCGGGAGGGCGCUUACCACUUUGUGAUUCAUGACUGGGGUGAAGUCGAAACAAGGUAACCGUAGGGGAACCUGCGGUUG